UCCGUAGGUGAACCUGCGGAAGGAUCAUUACCACACCUAAAAAACUUUCCACGUGAACCGUUCUAAAUAUGUUCUGUGCUUCGUCGACGUGUGCUGCUAUCCUUUGGAAAGUGGCGUAACGGAGGCUUGAGGCUGAACGAAGGUUGGCUCAGUACUCGUGUAGCUCUCGGGCUGCGCGGUGGAACGGCUUACCGAUGUCUUUUUCAAACCCAUUUACUAAAUACUGAUCUAUACUCCGAGGACGAAAGUCUUUGGUUUUAAUCCAUUAACAACUUUCAGCAGUGGAUGUYUAGGCUCGCACAUCGAUGAAGAACGCUGCGAACUGCGAUACGUAAUGCGAAUUGCAGGAUUCAGUGAGUCAUCGAAAUUUUGAACGCAUAUUGCACUUUCGGGUUAUGCCUGGAAGUAUGCCUGUAUCAGUGUCCGUACAUCAAACUUGCCUUUCUUUUUCUGKGUAGUCAGGAAUUGAGAUGGCAGAAUGUGAGGUGUCUCGAGCCGUYCCCYUUUUGGGAGAUAGCACGAGUCCCUUUAAAUGUACGUUGAUCUCUCUUGUGUCUUAGUAGAAGUGUAAUGCUCGAACGCAGUGAUCUGUUCAGAUCGCUUUGCGCUGGUGGGCGACUUCGGAGAGGACAUUAAGGAGGCGACCUCUAUUGGCGGUAUGUUAGGCUUCGGCCCGACGUUGCAGCUGACGGGGUGUUGUUUUCCGUUCUUUCCUUGAGGUGUACCUGUCGUGUGUGAGGUUGAACUGGGCGCCGGUUAUUGUGUAGUAGAGUGUUGCUGCUCUUUGACGCCUUCGGGUAAAGAGGACGACACUAAUUUGGGAACAGAGACUGCGGCUUGCUGCGGCUUCUGAACUUUUUCAAAUUGGACCUGAUAUCAGGCAAGACUACCCGCUGAACUUAAG
This 904-nucleotide ribosomal RNA is filed under the name Pythium insidiosum. Its description in RNAcentral is "eukaryotic LSU rRNA". The record is from RNAcentral. Lineage: Eukaryota; Oomycota; Peronosporomycetes; Pythiales; Pythiaceae.